UCGAUGUCACUUUGAACCAGACUGAACAUAAUGUUCUGUCACAUCUAUGUUUUAUUGAUUGUCCAGUUGUAUCAUGAGUUAAGCAGGUUCAUCAGACACCCCUCUGUGGAGAAUAGCAGUCAUUAUGAACAUGCUGACUGGCCAUGCCAUUCAAGAAACGCUUAAUGGAUCUCCAUAAUCUUCCUCUUCUUGUCCUGGGUAAAGUCUCCUCUUCACACUGCCUGGAUGUUUCUGGUUUCGGUUCUUCAUUAUCAUCAUCAUCAUCACUCGCGCUUUCUUCCAGAACUCCUGCGGCCACCAGUCUCUCCAGAAUGUCUUCGUCAACCGGAAAGCUGUCCCUCAUGCUGUCUUCAGUCAAACUGCUGGUGUGCCGGCAAAAAGCGCAAACGAUCCGGGAUCCGGAGUGAGGAUCACAUCGACCAGCCUGAUCAGCAGCCAGAGUCAGCAAGCAGCUCUCACAGAAGCUGUGUUUACAGUGUAACUGUCGCGGACACCGACGAGACACAUCAUAGAUCCUGUAACAGAUCCCACACUCCAGCUCAGACAGCAUGCUGAUCUAGUAUAGACUGCUGUGGAACUCUUGACAAAACAGGAGAGAGAGACUGGGGCGAUCUGAGGACUCGGUGGAGUUUAGUUAGGUUUAUAAGGUGGUUCAAAACAAUUCCAUGAUGCGUAAGAGGGUGGAGAAUGAAGAAUCCAGUUUUUCAAUAAGGAAGUUCUCAUGAGGAAUAUGACCAAACAUGCCCAACACGUUGAGAUCCAGGUUUGAAUCCCAUCUGUCGCAGAUAUCGGCCAGCGGACAUCUACACAAACUUGUUUGGCUAUGUGUUGAGGAGGGUUCCUGCCUAGCGCCUAGUGUUUCCAGGUGAACCGGGUGCAUCACAACUCUGUUGUGUUUAAUUUUUUUUUUUUAAAUCACAAAUGCCAGGUUACAGAUGACAGUAUAUAUACAUUCUAAGUCACAAAAAUGUUUUUAUUAUCAAGCUGCAAAUAAAAAUUUUUA
Trichomycterus rosablanca is the source of this 1003-nucleotide long non-coding RNA. RefSeq lists it as uncharacterized. The record is from RefSeq and is a predicted model, not a curated record. The transcript is spliced from 3 exons. NCBI's taxonomy places the organism in Eukaryota, Metazoa, Chordata, Actinopteri, Siluriformes, Trichomycteridae.